GAUGAACGCUGGCGGCGUGCUUAACACAUGCAAGUCGAACGGAAAGGCCCAAGCUUGCUUGGGUACUCGAGUGGCGAACGGGUGAGUAACACGUGGGUGAUCUGCCCUGCACUUCGGGAUAAGCCUGGGAAACUGGGUCUAAUACCGGAUAGGACGAUGGUUUGGAUGCCAUUGUGGAAAGUUUUUUCGGUGUGGGAUGAGCUCGCGGCCUAUCAGCUUGUUGGUGGGGUAAUGGCCUACCAAGGCGUCGACGGGUAGCCGGCCUGAGAGGGUGUACGGCCACAUUGGGACUGAGAUACGGCCCAGACUCCUACGGGAGGCAGCAGUGGGGAAUAUUGCACAAUGGGCGCAAGCCUGAUGCAGCGACGCCGCGUGGGGGAUGACGGCCUUCGGGUUGUAAACUCCUUUCGCUAGGGACGAAGCGUUUUUGUGACGGUACCUGGAGAAGGAGCACCGGCUAACUACGUG
RNAcentral lists this ribosomal RNA (468 nucleotides) under uncultured bacterium. RNAcentral describes it as "partial 16S ribosomal RNA". It matches the Rfam family "Bacterial small subunit ribosomal RNA", at positions 28 to 507 of the family's 1533-position model. The record is from RNAcentral.